RNAcentral lists this ribosomal RNA (399 nucleotides) under uncultured bacterium. RNAcentral's name for it is "partial 16S ribosomal RNA". It matches the Rfam family "Bacterial small subunit ribosomal RNA", at positions 360 to 774 of the family's 1533-position model. The record is from RNAcentral.
AAUAUUUCACAAUGGAGGGAACUCUGAUGCAGCCACGCCGCGUGAGUGAAUAAGGGUUUCGGGUCGUAAAACUCUGUCAUUGGGGAAGAAUAAAUGCCGGUACCCAAUGAGGAAGCCCCGGCCACCUACGUGCCAGCCGCCGCGGUAAUACGUAGGGGGCGAGCGUUGUCCGGAAUUACUGGGCGUAAAGGGUGCGUAGGCGGCUAUAUAAGUCAGGUGUGAAAUACCAGUGCUUAACACUGGAAUUGCAUUUGAAACUGUGUAGCUUGAGUGCAGGAGAGGAAAGUGGAAUUCCUAGUGUAGCGGUGAAAUGCGUAGAGAUUAGGAGGAACACCAGUGGCGAAGGCGACUUUCUGGACUGUAACUGACGCUGAGGUACGAAAGCGUGGGUAGCGAACA